This is a non-coding RNA of Paramormyrops kingsleyae, 507 nucleotides long. Lineage: Eukaryota; Metazoa; Chordata; Actinopteri; Osteoglossiformes; Mormyridae. The record is from RefSeq and is a predicted model, not a curated record.
UAGAUAAGAUUUUAACAACUCUGAGCUAUUAGUUAAGUUCUCCCCAAACGAGCUUGAUGGGCCGAAUGGCCUCCUCUCGUUUGUAAAUUCCUUAUGUUCUUAUGUUCUUAUGUUUCUUAUGUUGUGCUUUUCUCAACUCAGCCCUAUGCUUUGAUUUCCUAUAUAAUGCACAUACUUCUAAUACUUACACUUGGAUUCAGACUUAAAUAUUCUGUGCAUUCGUGCAUAAGAAGAAACCUGGAACAGUGGAACAUCGAAGCUACUAAAGUAAAUUCUCUUGAAUACGCUACAACAAUCAGCACUGUGUAACAUCUUUUCUUCAACAGGUCACCUCCCAAAAAUACUAGACUUUGAAGCAAACCGAAAAGAAGCAGCUGAUGUCACCCUGGAUCCUGAUACAGCACAAGCUGGGCUGAUCAUCUCUGAGGAUGGGAAAGAAGUCACAUAUAGAGGCAAUAAGCAGGGAAUUGAUUACUCAUUCUUUUAUAACUUACUGGUUAAUUUAAA